AAAGUCGUAACAAGGUUUCCGUAGGUGAACCUGCGGAAGGAUCAUUACAAAUCCAAAACAAUUACUCGUUGAAAUGUUCUCGGCCUUGAGCAAAAAUAUCAUGGCGGUUGGCGGUGUGGUCUUGAUUCGGAUGUUGAAAUAGCUUACCAUUUUGUGGUUGCAGUUCUCCUCUCCGUUGUGCUGACAUUGCAACCAGAAUGAUAUGUGGAGAUUAGGUCUCUGGUACGCCCUAUAUUCAGGGCAAUGCCGAGGCCGAGUCACCUCUCAAGGCUUGAUUUAAUAACAUUAACUAAUUGACAUUAUCGUCCGAUUGGACUAUAUAAUAAUCUAAACAACUUUUAACAAUGGAUCUCUAGGCUCUU
This 362-nucleotide unclassified non-coding RNA is filed under the name Basidiomycota sp. RNAcentral describes it as "partial contains small subunit ribosomal RNA, internal transcribed spacer 1, and 5.8S ribosomal RNA". The stretch from base 1 to 47 matches the Rfam family "Eukaryotic small subunit ribosomal RNA", at positions 1785 to 1831 of the family's 1831-position model. Lineage: Eukaryota; Fungi; Basidiomycota. The record is from RNAcentral.